Molecule: small RNA, 175 nt
Filed under: Marmota monax (woodchuck)
Lineage: Eukaryota; Metazoa; Chordata; Mammalia; Rodentia; Sciuridae
Source: RNAcentral
AAGAAAGGGAUAAGGUUAAGGUACAUGGGUGGAUGUUCCCCAUUUGGGGAAUUUUUACAUUUUUAUUAUGAAAUAUAGCAAACAUAUCUUACAGAAGGUGUGUGUGUGUGUGUGUGUGUGUGUGUGUUUUAAAGCAAAGUAGUAACAAAUACUGAAGGACCUGAUACCCAUCUUA